AAUGUUAGUUUUUCCUUUGAGUUGAUGAUUUUACUUGUCGUGAAAAAAAUAUUUUCAGAGACGAGAAUUUUCUCUUUUCUCAACAUUUAUUUAAUUUGUUGUUUGUCACAGAAUCUCAAGGUUUUUUUUUUGCUUUUCUCAUAUCUUUUCAUUUUGUGAUGAGAUGGGAACGAUAAAAGCAUUUUGAAAGAUUUGGUGACUCACUCGUCGAGUCUGUCUAGUAUUUAUAUUGCGGAAGUGAAGUACGUAAAGGGGUUUCUGUGUUCUUGUGAACUAGGGUACUUUUGCGAAGUGGAUUGCCUUUCAUUCCCUUUUUUUUUUUUUUCCUCAUGAGUCACCUUUUCUAUCGCCACAUGCAAAUGUGUCAUAAAAAAAAAUUUCCAUUUCUUCCAAAUGAAUUUUUUUUUUUUGCUUUCUUUAGUAGAUAAAAAUAUAAUUAAUAUUUACGGAUUAUUGAAUGAAAUAAGGGAAAAAAAAAUUGAUUUCUAAAAAUAACUCGAAUUGCGUCGUUAUGUGAUUAUUAAAAAAAGAACUUCGAUUACAUUAUACAAUAUUGAUUGUCUUAGAAUAGUUGGGUAUUUGAUCCUCUUAAAGGCAAUAUCAUGGUCACGUGUGUAAAAUACCUUUGGGAUUGAUUUUAUUUAUUUAUUUAUUUUUUUUUUGUAAUCGCAGAAGCGUAACGAGACGCGCAGUUGUUUGUCCACCACAGUUUUCCCUUCGCAUCUAUGUGAAAAUAUUUUUUUUCCGCGCACAUUGACAAUAUAUGAACCUGGUGCGUAUUACAAACUCAAAUGACAGAGACCGGUCAAAUACGUAGAGGCGUAGUAGUGUCGUAUUCUCGCUCGCGACAGAAUCCAAGAAUAGAAACGCACGCGUGCCCUGGUGUUAAAUUGUUACCUCCUGCAAACUUUUCCCUCUCUUUCUAUUUUCGCCACUGUUAGUGAUUCAACCCCUUCUUUUUCAAUGUACACGUCUAUUUAGAUCUCUUCUCGUCCUUUCCUUGUCUCUCUUUUCAACGAAUGCCAUUACAGUCUUCUAAUUCCAAAAUCUCUCUCUCUCUCUUCUUCUUUCUCGCUCACUUUUAAGCAUUAAUCUCCUACGCACUCGAUCUUUCUCUCUCCUUCGACGUGGGACGAUCCUCCUAGAUUCUAUAUAAACCACCGAGUACACUUGAGGAGCUUUGAGUUCGCGAACAACUUUUCAACCGGAAACGUGUGUGUGAUCCAUAGGUGCGAGGGUCGAAAUUCAUAAAUUUUUUUUUGCGAAAAACUUUUUGAGAGACGCUCAUUCAGAGAAAAAUUAAAAAAUAUCUUGAUUGUAAUUUUUUUUCUAUUUUUUUUUUUUUAACGCGAAUUUGCAAAAAGUUUGAUGAAGCGUCUCUCAAUUUUAACGUUCGGCUAAAAAAAUUCAGGAAUUUGAAAAUCAUUUUUAGAUUUGCAAUUUUGAUUUUCAAUUUCUAAAAAAACGUGUCAUUUGUGUGAGCAGAGGUUUGUUUUUUU
Molecule: long non-coding RNA, 1499 nt
Organism: Leptopilina boulardi
Lineage: Eukaryota; Metazoa; Arthropoda; Insecta; Hymenoptera; Figitidae
Exons: 3
Source: RefSeq, a predicted model, not a curated record